Molecule: ribosomal RNA, 960 nt
Filed under: Triticum aestivum (bread wheat)
Lineage: Eukaryota; Viridiplantae; Streptophyta; Magnoliopsida; Poales; Poaceae
Description: partial small subunit ribosomal RNA
Source: RNAcentral
AUGGAUCCCUUCCACCACCUCAACACCGCCUUCUCCAACCCCUACCACCCGCUCCUCUCCUCCUCCCCUCCCCACCCCUACCACCCUCCGCCCCCUCUCCCGCCUCCGCCCGCCGCCGACCCGCCCGAGCGGGAGCGCCUGCCGCAGUGGUCGCACGCCGAGACGGCCGCCUUCCUCGCCAUCCGCGCCGACCUUGACCACUCCUUCCUCUCCACCAAGCGCAACAAGGCCCUCUGGGAGGCCGUCUCCGCGCGCCUCAACGCGCAAGGCGGAUUCGCGCGCACCCCCGACCAGUGCAAGUCCAAGUGGAAGAACCUCGUCACCAGGUUCAAGGGCACGGCCAGCGACGCGCAGCCGGAGGGCGGGGACCAUCCCGCCGGCGCGGCGGCGAGGGGCAGCUUCCCGUUCCACGACGAGAUGAGGAGGAUCUUCGACGCCAGGGUCGAGAGGGCGCGCGCAUUGGAGGCCAAGAAGGCCAAGGGGAAGGACGCCGCCGCGCGGCGCGAUCCGGACGACGAUGGCGGCGGCGAGGGCGACGAGGGCGAGGACGACGAGGAGGAGGCGGAGAUGGUCGACGAGGAGGAGGGCAGGGCCGAUGCGGAGGCGCGGGGCGCGGGGAGGAAGCGGAGAAGGAAGGCGGCGCCGGCGAGGACCGCGUCAGCGGGAGGAGGGGUCGAGAUAGGCGAGGUCGAGGCGGUGCUGCGGGAGUUCAUGCGGCGGCAGAUGGAGAUGGAGGAUCGGUGGAUGGAGGCCGCGGAGGCGCGCGACGCCGAGCGCCGGGCGCGCGAGGAGGAGUGGCGCGCCGCCAUGGUCGCGCUCGGCGAGGAGCGGCUCGCGCUCGUGCGCCGCUGGCGCGAGCGCGAGGACGCGUGGAGGGCGCGCGCCGAGGAGCGCGAGGAGCGCCGGCACCAGCUCGUCGCCGCCCUGCUGGCCAAGCUCGGCGGCGACACGUCGUCCUAA